This 438-nucleotide ribosomal RNA is filed under the name uncultured bacterium. RNAcentral describes it as "bacterial SSU rRNA". It matches the Rfam family "Bacterial small subunit ribosomal RNA", at positions 97 to 518 of the family's 1533-position model. The record is from RNAcentral.
GGCGGACGGGUGAGUAACACGUGGACAAGUCUGCCCCCCGGCCCGGGAUAGCCCAGGGAAACCUGGAUUAAUACCGGAUGAGACGGGACUCGCGAUGGCGGGACCCGGGAAAGGCGCUGCGGCGCCGCCGGGGGGAUGAGUCUGCGUCCCAUUAGCUAGACGGCGGGGUAACGGCCCACCGUGGCGACGAUGGGUAGCCGGCCUGAGAGGGUGGACGGCCACAUUGGAACUGAGACACGGUCCAGACUCCUACGGGAGGCAGCAGCUAAGAAUCCUCCGCAAUGGGCGAAAGCCUGACGGAGCGAACCGCCGCGUGAACGAAGAAGGCCGUGAGGUUGUAAAGUUCUUUUCGGGAGGGGGAACAACCGUGGCAGGGAAUGGCCGCGGGAUGACGUGAAUCCCGGAAUAAGCCCCGGCUAACUACGUGCCAGCCGCCGC